RNAcentral lists this ribosomal RNA (498 nucleotides) under uncultured bacterium. RNAcentral's name for it is "partial 16S ribosomal RNA". It matches the Rfam family "Bacterial small subunit ribosomal RNA", at positions 30 to 523 of the family's 1533-position model. The record is from RNAcentral.
AUUGAACGCUGGCGGCAUGCCUUACACAUGCAAGUCGAACGGUAACAGGUCUUCGGAUGCUGACGAGUGGCGAACGGGUGAGUAAUACAUCGGAACGUGCCUAGUAGUGGGGGAUAACUACUCGAAAGAGUGGCUAAUACCGCAUGAGAUCUACGGAUGAAAGCAGGGGAUCGCAAGACCUUGUGCUACUAGAGCGGCCGAUGGCAGAUUAGGGAGUUGGUGGGAUAAAAGCUUACCAAGCCGACGAUCUGUAGCUGGUCUGAGAGGACGAUCGGCAACACUGGGACUGAGAAACGGCCCAGACUCCUACGGGAGGCAGCAGUGGGGAAUUUUGGACAAUGGGCGAAAGCCUGAUCCAGCAAUGCCGCGUGCAGGAUGAAGGCCUUCGGGUUGUAAACUGCUUUUGUACGGAACGAAAAGCCCCGGGUUAAUACCCUGGGGUCAUGACGGUACCGUAAGAAUAAGCACCGGCUAACUACGUGCCAGCCGCCGCGGUAA